CUGUACCUCAAGCCCGGCUUGUGUGUUGGGCCUACCGUCCCCUGGACGGUGACCCGAAACGCAGUGGCGGCGUCGCGUCCCGGUCCUUGAAGCGUAUGGGGCUUUGUCACCCGCUUAGAGGCCGGCCGACCCCGUAGCCCAUCGUGGAUCUUCCACAUUUAUCU
Molecule: unclassified non-coding RNA, 164 nt
Filed under: uncultured Rasamsonia
Lineage: Eukaryota; Fungi; Ascomycota; Eurotiomycetes; Eurotiales; Trichocomaceae
Description: sequence contains ITS2
Source: RNAcentral